GAUGAACGCUAGCGGCAGGCCUAAUACAUGCAAGCUGAACGGCAAGAUUUGUAGCAAUACGAGUCCUAGAGUAGCGUAAGGGUGCGUAACACGUAUGCAAUCUGCCCGCAACAGGAGGAUAGCUUAGCGAAAGUUGAGAUAAGACUCCAUAAGAUCACGAGAGGGCAUCUGAUUGUGAUUAAACUACAAGGGGUUGCGGAUGAGCANGCGUCUGAUUAGUUAGUUGGCGGGGUAACGGCCACCAAGACGAUGAUCAGUAGGGGAACUGAGAGGUU
RNAcentral lists this ribosomal RNA (275 nucleotides) under uncultured bacterium. Its description in RNAcentral is "partial 16S ribosomal RNA". It matches the Rfam family "Bacterial small subunit ribosomal RNA", at positions 28 to 301 of the family's 1533-position model. The record is from RNAcentral.